RNAcentral lists this transfer RNA (67 nucleotides) under Thylacodes sp. New Zealand-TAR. Its description in RNAcentral is "tRNA-Leu". It matches the Rfam family "tRNA". From Rfam's summary of the family: Transfer RNA (tRNA) molecules are approximately 80 nucleotides in length. Their secondary structure includes four short double-helical elements and three loops (D, anti-codon, and T loops). The record is from RNAcentral. Lineage: Eukaryota; Metazoa; Mollusca; Gastropoda; Littorinimorpha; Vermetidae.
AUAGGAGUGGCAGAGUAGUGCAUUAGAUUUAGGAUCUAAAUAUGAAGAGGAUAAUCUUUUUCUUAUA